Long non-coding RNA from Colossoma macropomum (tambaqui), 793 nucleotides. RefSeq lists it as uncharacterized. The transcript is spliced from 2 exons. The record is from RefSeq and is a predicted model, not a curated record. NCBI's taxonomy places the organism in Eukaryota, Metazoa, Chordata, Actinopteri, Characiformes, Serrasalmidae.
GUGUGAGUCUGGUUUGUGCAGUUAUCAAUGAAAGCAUAGCUAUCUUCCCUCUGUUUCAUCUUUAAACAUCUUCUGCAUUUUGGCUUUAGAUGGCAUUGUCGUGCCUUCAGUAAAUGGAGAUAUACUGGAACCUCUUGUCGGUGUGGUAAUUGGAGAGGAGUUUAGCUGCCUGUCAAGCUAAGCAAGGAGCUUCAGUUGAGGACAGGACACUGUGGUUAUUUUCCACUCAAAUACGUGGACUCUGUUACUGGCAAAGACAUAAAUAGCAGUAAUGACAAUGCUAAAUACAACAAUAAUGCUUGCAUGUAUAAGCACUUUUUUGUAAUCCAGUUUUUGUAUUGUCGUUUUUGUAAACAAAAAUGUAAACUACUAUCAUUGUAAUAUUUAUUUGACGGGUUAUCAUCAACAUUAACACACAAAGGUAAUAACUGGGGAUGGUGGAGAUCAUUUCUGCAUUGUCUGGCAUUGUUAAAACACAGAGUUAGAAAAAAAAUCUCACAAGUGAAAGCAGCAUUUUGUAGCAUAGAAAUGUAAUGUCAUUAUGCCAGUUGUGGUAAACCUUUGCUGCCAGUUACUGCUUAAAAUAACAGAAACAGAAAGUUAAAACAGAAUUUAGGGUUUUUAAGGUUAGGACAGUAUUCAGGAAAUUCUGUCUAGUUACAAUGCUUCUGUAAUACUGUUUUCUUAUCUGGAGAUAGGAUAAGAUUAUAAACUUGUGAACUUUUAUUCUGUAAUAGCUUCCACCUUGUUUGACUGAAAUGAACAAUGAAAUGAAGUGUCUGUGAUAACAAUA